RNAcentral lists this ribosomal RNA (406 nucleotides) under uncultured bacterium. Its description in RNAcentral is "partial 16S ribosomal RNA". It matches the Rfam family "Bacterial small subunit ribosomal RNA", at positions 30 to 526 of the family's 1533-position model. The record is from RNAcentral.
AUUGAACGCUGGCGGCAGGCCUAACACAUGCAAGUCGAGCGAUCGUCGGGCAGGGGAGUAUUAUCUGUGAAACUGCCGGCUUUCGGGGGGUAACUACUGGUAACGAUAGCUACUACCGCAUACCAUCAUAGGUUCCCAGAUGGGAGUAUCUAGUAGGUGGGGUAAUGGCUCACCUAGGCGACGACCCCUAGCUGGUCUGAGAGGAUGACCAGCCACACUGGAACUGAGACACGGUCCAGACUCCUACGGGAGGCAGCAGUGGGGAAUAUUGCACAAUGGGCGCAAGCCUGAUGCAGCCAUGCCGCGUGUAUGAAGAAGGCCUUCGGGUUGUAAAGUACUUUCAGCGGGGAGGCGUUACCCGCAGAAGAAGCACCGGCUAACUCCGUGCCAGCAGCCGCGGUAAUUC